RNAcentral lists this unclassified non-coding RNA (336 nucleotides) under Cutaneotrichosporon moniliiforme. Lineage: Eukaryota; Fungi; Basidiomycota; Tremellomycetes; Trichosporonales; Trichosporonaceae. The record is from RNAcentral.
CAGAAGGCUGUAGCAGUAGAGUAGCCUUGUUGCUACGAUCUGCUGAGGCUCAGCUCUUGUUCUACAGAUUUGUCCUUUUGGACUCUCUCUGGCUGUUAUGGACUGGGGGCGAUUGAUUUAGCUACCAGUGCUAUUGCAGGCAUAGACAGUGCAAGAGGAAAGACGAGGCAAGAGGGUGUUGCAAUGAAUCAAGUUGAAGGCAAAGCACAUGCUCGAUUUUUGAUGUGUUUUGAAUUGUAAUGAUUUGGGUCAUAAGCCAAUUCAACACCUAUAAAUUAUCCACGGCCAUAGGACUCAGAAAAUACCGCAUCCCGUCCGAUCUGCGAAGUCAAGCUA